GUCGCUUCUCGGCCUUUUGGCUAAGAUCAAGUGUAGUACCUGAUGUUUCCAAUUGAACUUCUUCAGCUUAGACUUGGCAAUAAAUUUGAAGCAGGCUUUCACAAAUACUGUUCGUUUCUUUGUUCUGCACCUAAGAAAAGAAAAAGUAAGUUCUC
Molecule: small nuclear RNA, 155 nt
Filed under: Ochotona princeps (American pika)
Lineage: Eukaryota; Metazoa; Chordata; Mammalia; Lagomorpha; Ochotonidae
Description: U2 spliceosomal RNA (ENSOPRG00000022859.1)
Rfam family: U2 spliceosomal RNA
About the family: U2 is a small nuclear RNA (snRNA) component of the spliceosome (involved in pre-mRNA splicing). Complementary binding between U2 snRNA (in an area lying towards the 5' end but 3' to hairpin I) and the branchpoint sequence (BPS) of the intron results the bulging out of an unpaired adenosine, on the BPS, which initiates a nucleophilic attack at the intronic 5' splice site, thus starting the first of two transesterification reactions that mediate splicing.
Source: RNAcentral